ACCACUGAUCCUUGUGUCAGGAUAGAUUAGCUUCCUGUUUUCUAGAGUUAAAAAGUGUCUUACAUUUAUAUUUUAUGUACUCUUUCCUGUUUGGUUUACAUCCUAUACAUUCACUAAACUCGCUUGUGUUUUUUUAGUAGUUCUUUAUAUAUUUAUGUAGAUUAUUAAUUUCUACAUAGACAGUCAUGCUAUUUGUAAUUAAAGACUGUUUCACAACUUCAUUUCUAACAGCAUAAUGCCUUUUAUUUCUUUAUUUAGUCACUCCAGGACAACACUUAAUAGAAAUUAUAAGCGUGAACACCUUGUGUUGUUCCUGACAUUAGAGGGAAACAUCCAAUCUUUCAUCCUGAAGCAAGAGGUUACCCGUAGGUUCUCUGUUAUCUAAUCUAUCACAGGGAUUAGACCAUAUGCCAAUGUGGGAGCUGGUUUGCAUUCUCUUUAAGGCUGUUGUCUUUGUAUCUGAUGUUGGAAUUUUAAGUCAACAAGACAGGCAGUUAAACAGGAAUGAUAAAUGUAAAAUGGGGUGAUCACAGACAAGGCGGAACCCACAAACAUAGCUUGGACCUUGGAGGAUGGCGUGGAGCCUGUGUAAGUGUGCACUGUCCUCCACCUUGAUGAUGUAGGUGUCUUGCAGGGAAAGCUGGUGCCCUUGUCAGAGCUAAACAGGCACCUGCUCAAAGGUCAAAGAAACUGGAAGAGGAGCAGUGCAGGGCUGGGCAGGCCCAUGAAUACACAGCUGCAAGUUUCCUGAAGCACUGCUUUCCUGUGUCCUACAAAUUUUGCUAGUAAAUUCCAUCAGCGUGCCUGCAGGAGGACAAGACAGCCUGAAUUGUGCCCGAGGAGGACGGAGCAGGGGUGCAGACCCACACCUCACCCUUUCUUACCCACGUGUAUAACCAACAGUGCUUCUGUACAGAACUUCAAAACCCUUAGAGCUUCCUGAGAGACAGGAGUGUCUUCAUCACGCUAAUGAGCUUUGAAAUAAAUGAGUAUCAGGAAAGUGCCCUGAGGCAAAGAAGAUGCCGCUGCGUAAGAAAAGGAUCCAAUUUGGGAAGCAGGAGCUGUGCUCCCCAUGGUCCUCCAGAUAUUGGCAAUUUUUCUCUAUCCAGGGGACUGAAGAUAAUUUUGGCUCUCUACCCAGGGCCCUGUUUUUCAACUUCCAAAGUCCUGUAAAGGAAGGACACAAGUUAAUCGCCUGAGAAACUCUAAAUCCUGACCCAAAUGAGCCCAGAGAUAGCACCAGAGGAAUCUACAGAACCAACAUUACUAAUCAGCCCUUAUCUCCUAUAUGUUUACCAUCCCACAAUUUGCUCCCAAGAAACCCAAAAUCCUUUUACUUAGUCACUUUUCUAAAAAGUUAUUGAUCUUUUGUUAAGAUGCCAUCCAAGCCAUGUUCGAACCACUGCAUUGCGUCACUUAUCACAGAGUCUUCCCUGUGCCAGAGAGAUGCACAUGUUAAUAAAAGUCUGGUUUUUCGGUUUGCUCUGUCUUUUGUAGGG
Molecule: long non-coding RNA, 1499 nt
Organism: Myotis myotis
Lineage: Eukaryota; Metazoa; Chordata; Mammalia; Chiroptera; Vespertilionidae
Exons: 6
Source: RefSeq, a predicted model, not a curated record